Molecule: unclassified non-coding RNA, 328 nt
Organism: Cavia aperea (Brazilian guinea pig)
Lineage: Eukaryota; Metazoa; Chordata; Mammalia; Rodentia; Caviidae
Source: Ensembl
AAAAGGAGAUAGAACAUUCAAGCUUGUUUUGCUCAGUAUCCUUUCCCUUUUUGCUCUUCACACACACUAGCUGGGAACCUUUACGUGUACAGUAUUUAUUUUGUAUUAUACUAGUAAUUACAAAGUUACCUAUGAGGCUAGAGAGGCAGCCAAGAUAAGGAGCACAUCUGACUGUGAUCUGCAGUGACUGGUAUUUACUGCAUAUCAAAUAUUGUCCCAGAAUGAUUCUCCCACUUAGAAACAUCUGAGCACCUAAGACCUUUUAAUAUAAGCCAAAUACCAGCUCUUUUGAUUUUAAUUUCAUCUUUAUGCUCUCUUACUAUUCCUA